RNAcentral lists this ribosomal RNA (1280 nucleotides) under uncultured Sebacina. Its description in RNAcentral is "eukaryotic LSU rRNA". The stretch from base 606 to 1280 matches the Rfam family "Eukaryotic large subunit ribosomal RNA", at positions 1 to 656 of the family's 3401-position model. The record is from RNAcentral. Lineage: Eukaryota; Fungi; Basidiomycota; Agaricomycetes; Sebacinales; Sebacinaceae.
UUCCGUAGGUGAACCUGCGGAAGGAUCAUUAGUGAAUCUUCAAAGUCGGCUCGUUGGAUUGUGCUGGUGGGCAGCCACAUGUGCACGUCUGCGGGUCGCAAAUCCACACACCUGUGCAUCUAYGACUCUGAGUGCCGCUUUGCAUGGCCCUUGAUUGGACCUGGYGCUCGAGUACUUUUCACACACUCUUGAAUGUAACGGAAUGUCAAUGUUGUGCAUAAUGUACAAACGAAACAACUUUCAACAACGGAUCUCUUGGCUCUCGCAUCGAUGAAGAACGCAGCGAAAUGCGAUAAGUAAUGUGAAUUGCAGAAUUCAGUGAAUCAUCGAAUCUUUGAACGCACCUUGCACCCUUUGGUAUUCCGAAGGGUACGCCCGUUUGAGUGUCAUUGUAAUCUCACUACCAUCGACUUUGGUCUUUUCGGUAUGUGGACWUGGAUGCUGCCGUUGAUGUYGACGGCUCGUCUGAAAUGCCUGAGUGUACCCUGCUUUGCGGCGUAUUCGGUGUGAUACAUCUUCACCGGAGUUGAUCCUUGUGGUCGCGUCUGUAAUGGUGUGGCUCUAUGCUUCCAAUCGUCUCKUUGGUUAGACAAUCUCUGACAAUUUGACCUCAAAUCGGGUGGGACUACCCGCUGAACUUAAGCAUAUCAAUAAGCGGAGGAAAAGAAACUAACAAGGAUUCCCCUAGUAACGGCGAGUGAAGAGGGAAAAGCUCAAAUUUUGAAUCUGGUGUCUUUGACUCCCGAGUUGUAAUCUAGAGAAGUGUUUUCCGUGUCGGACCGUGCACAAGUUCCCUGGAACGGGGCGUCAUAGAGGGUGAGAAUCCCGUAUAUGGCAUGGACUACCGAUGCUUUUGUGAUACACUCUCAACGAGUCGAGUUGUUUGGGAAUGCAGCUCAAAAUGGGUGGUAAAUUCCAUCUAAAGCUAAAUAUUGGCGAGAGACCGAUAGCGAACAAGUACCGUGAGGGAAAGAUGAAAAGCACUUUGGAAAGAGAGUGAAACAGUACGUGAAAUUGUUGAAAGGGAAGCGUUUGAAGUCAGUCAUAUCUGGCGGGAUUCAGCCGGGCUUUUGCCAGGUGUACUUCUCGUCCGAUGGGUCAGCAUCAAUUUCGACCGGGGGAAAAAGGCAUUGGGAAUGUGGCUGUCUUCGGGCAGUGUUAUAGCCUCGUGUUGUAUGCCUCGGUUGGGAUUGAGGAACGCAGCGCGCCGCAUGGCCAGGGGUUCGCCUCUUGACACGCGCUUAGGAUGCUGGCAUAAUGGCUUUAAGCGACCCGUCUUG